GCAUUGUCCCGCCCACCACCUCCGUGGUUUCCUCCUUCAUUUCCGUUGAGACUUGAGCGCUGAGCUGCUAACUGAACGUUAAAGAUUCACGGAAGAAGAGAGUGAACAAACCAGGAGGUUGGAGGCGGCGCCAUUUUGUGCUGCUGUGCKGUCCUCUGGUGAGACCGAAAUUAUCCGGUCGCCUCUGGAGCUCAAAGCGRUACAGACACAGGAGGUUAACCACCAACCUCCCACUGACUGCGUCUGAAUGUCAACAGCAACUUCUAUAACCUCAAGAAUCUGCCAUCAGAGCAUUCAGACGUUCCUGUGAUCAGAAACUGGUCCUGAUCGACAGCUCUUCAGAUAUUGUGAAGAUAUCGGCUGUUUCUUUGGGGUUUGGCUGCUUGUUUGAGGCUCUGGAACAUCAUGCAGUGUGUGCAGCACAGCGCCCCCAGUGGUGAGAACUCCUCCACUGGCCUGCAGAACCUCAUUGUGGACUCCGAAGGCUCCAUUCAUCAUUUGAGCUGAGUCAUCUCAGAGAAACUGGCAAUAAUGGAUAAAUAAUCGCGCUGCAUUCACACACGGUGACGUGGCUGCACCCUGUCCGAGCUGGGGGGCAUUCAGAGGUCAAACCUGUGUGGAAAGGAGAGCUACCAGUCGUUUUCAACUCGCUGCAGGAAAUGACCUGCCGUUUAAAGACGGUGACAAUCUACAGAUGAUUCCAAACUCAUCUCUCAAUAUUUUUACAAAAACAAGGCGUUGUGUCGCUCCACUAUCAGCUGAUCGGAGCUUCCUUGUCGUCUCUGCUUGAACUUUAAAUCCGAAUGACGUUAUCUGUUCAGUUCGAAACGGGAGCACUGAAUCCGACUCUGCGUGCAAACUGCAGGAAGCUUCCUCACUGCUUAUCAAAUGUUAAACAUCUGCGGAUCUGAUGCGAUGCCAAGUUCACCUCUUCCUCAUGAUGAAUCUGCUUAGUAUUUAGUAUUCAGACAGAUGACUCUACCCAACUCAUGGUAACUGUCACUCUACAAUCUGCACCGUUAGCUCAUUAGUGAAAGAAAUACUUCCACGAGAAUAU
Non-coding RNA from Poecilia reticulata (guppy), 1057 nucleotides. The record is from RefSeq and is a predicted model, not a curated record. Lineage: Eukaryota; Metazoa; Chordata; Actinopteri; Cyprinodontiformes; Poeciliidae.